RNAcentral lists this long non-coding RNA (246 nucleotides) under Pelobates cultripes (western spadefoot toad). Lineage: Eukaryota; Metazoa; Chordata; Amphibia; Anura; Pelobatidae. The record is from RNAcentral.
GUCAGUGUAUCCACUGUUAGCGUGACACACCCGCUUUAAGGACACUGACUGCUAUUCAAUCUAUAACAGUGAAAAAAGAUUAUUUUUUUUUUUAAAUCCAAACUAUUGUGACACCAGAUCUAAUUAGUGGCACUGGUCAGCGUAUCCACUGUUAGCGUAACACACCCGCUUUAAGGACACUGACUGCUAUUCAAUCUAUAACAGUGAAAAAAGAGUUUUGUUUUUUUAAAUCCAAGCUAUUGUGAC